UCGGGAAUUUUGGGCAAUGGGCGAAAGCCUGACCCAGCAACGCCGCGUGAGGGAUGAAGUAUUUCGGUAUGUAAACCUCGAAAGAAUGGGAAGAAUAAAUGACGGUACCAUUUAUAAGCUCCGGCUAACUACGUGCCAGCAGCCGCGGUAAUACGUAGGGAGCAAGCGUUGUUCGGAUUUACUGGGCGUAAAGGGCGCGUAGGCGGCGCGGUAAGUCACUUGUGAAAUCUCUGAGCUUAACUCAGAACGGCCAAGUGAUACUGCCGUGCUAGAGUGCGGAAGAGGCAACCGGAACUCUCGGUGUAGCGGUGAAAUGAGUAGGUAUCAAGAGGAACACCUGAGGCGAAGGCGGGUUGCUGGGCCGACACUGACGCUGAUGCGCGAAAGCCAGGG
Molecule: ribosomal RNA, 393 nt
Filed under: uncultured bacterium
Lineage: Bacteria
Description: bacterial SSU rRNA
Rfam family: Bacterial small subunit ribosomal RNA
Source: RNAcentral